Molecule: ribosomal RNA, 253 nt
Filed under: uncultured bacterium
Lineage: Bacteria
Description: partial 16S ribosomal RNA
Rfam family: Bacterial small subunit ribosomal RNA
Source: RNAcentral
UACGUAGGGGGCAAGCGUUGUCCGGAAUCAUUGGGCGUAAAGCGCGUGUAGGCGGCCCGGUAAGUCCGCUGUGAAAGUCGGGGGCUCAACCCUCGAAUGCCGGUGGAUACUGUCGGGCUAGAGUGCGGAAGAGGCGAGUGGAAUUCCUGGUGUAGCGGUGAAAUGCGCAGAUAUCAGGAGGAACACCAAUUGCGAAGGCAGCUCGCUGGGACGUGACUGACGCUGAGAUGCGAAAGCGUGGGGAGCAAACAGG